This is a long non-coding RNA of Oncorhynchus keta (chum salmon), 661 nucleotides long. RefSeq lists it as uncharacterized. The transcript has 3 exons. Lineage: Eukaryota; Metazoa; Chordata; Actinopteri; Salmoniformes; Salmonidae. The record is from RefSeq and is a predicted model, not a curated record.
UAUAUCCUGUAGUGAGACAGCUUGAUGUACCAGGACACCCCCUGGACAGGACACUAGUCUAUCUCCUGUUUCUGUAGUGAGACAGCUUGAUGUACCAGGACACCCCCUGGACAGGACACUAAGUCCUGUGGAAAUACUAUGAAUGGUGUAUGCUUGGGUUGAGUUGAUUCACUUGGGAGAAUCAAGGUUGAGUUGAUUCACUUGGGAGAAUCAAGGUUGAGUUGAUUCACUUUGGGAGAAUCAAGGUUGAGUUGAUUCACUCGGGAGAAUCAAGGUUGAGUUGAUUCACUCGGGAGAAUCAAGGUUGAGUUGAUUCACUUGGGAGAAUCAAGGUUGAGUUGAUUCACUUGGGAGAAUCAAGGUUGAGUUGAUUCACUUGGGAGAAUCAAGGUUGAGUUGAUUCACUUGGGAGAAUCAAGGUUGAGUUGAUUCACUUGGGAGAAUCAAGGUUGAGUUGAUUCACUCGGGAGAAUCAAGGUUGAGUUGAUUCACUUGGGAGAAUCAAGGUUGAGUUGAUUCACUUGGGAGAAUCAAGGUUGAGUUGAUUCACUUGGGAGAAUCAAGGUUGAGUUGAUUCACUUGGGAGAAUCAAGGUUGAGUUGAUUCACUCGGGAGAAUCAAGGUUGAGUUGAUUCACUUGGGAGAAUCAAGGUUGAGUUGA